This 70-nucleotide transfer RNA is filed under the name Dipodomys ordii (Ord's kangaroo rat). It matches the Rfam family "tRNA". Rfam says of the family: Transfer RNA (tRNA) molecules are approximately 80 nucleotides in length. The record is from Rfam by way of RNAcentral. Lineage: Eukaryota; Metazoa; Chordata; Mammalia; Rodentia; Heteromyidae.
GGGAAUGUGGCUUAGUGUUAGAGUGCUUGCUUUGCAUGUAUGGAGCCCUAGGUUCAAUUCCUCAAUACCA